Molecule: transfer RNA, 70 nt
Filed under: Cavia porcellus (domestic guinea pig)
Lineage: Eukaryota; Metazoa; Chordata; Mammalia; Rodentia; Caviidae
Rfam family: tRNA
About the family: Transfer RNA (tRNA) molecules are approximately 80 nucleotides in length. Their secondary structure includes four short double-helical elements and three loops (D, anti-codon, and T loops). Further hydrogen bonds mediate the characteristic L-shaped molecular structure. tRNAs have two regions of fundamental functional importance: the anti-codon, which is responsible for specific mRNA codon recognition, and the 3' end, to which the tRNAs corresponding amino acid is attached (by aminoacyl-tRNA synthetases). tRNAs cope with the degeneracy of the genetic code in two manners: having more than one tRNA (with a specific anti-codon) for a particular amino acid; and 'wobble' base-pairing, i.e. permitting non-standard base-pairing at the 3rd anti-codon position.
Source: Rfam by way of RNAcentral
GGGGAUUUAGCUCAGUGGCAUAAGCACCUGCCUUGUAAGCAGGCAAUCGCCAGUUCGAUCCCUGGUACCA